MicroRNA precursor from Cebus imitator (Panamanian white-faced capuchin), 79 nucleotides. Lineage: Eukaryota; Metazoa; Chordata; Mammalia; Primates; Cebidae. The record is from Ensembl.
UGGCCUGGUCAGAGGAAGCGGGAAAUGAGAGUUACCCAGGACCUUUGCAUACUCACCCCUGCCACUCACUGGCCCCCAG